This 503-nucleotide ribosomal RNA is filed under the name uncultured bacterium. Its description in RNAcentral is "partial 16S ribosomal RNA". It matches the Rfam family "Bacterial small subunit ribosomal RNA", at positions 30 to 523 of the family's 1533-position model. The record is from RNAcentral.
AUUGAACGCUGGCGGCAGGCUUAACACAUGCAAGUCGAGCGGGGGAAGGUAGCUUGCUACCGGACCUAGCGGCGGACGGGUGAGUAAUGCUUAGGAAUCUGCCUAUUAGUGGGGGACAACAUCUCGAAAGGGAUGCUAAUACCGCAUACGUCCUACGGGAGAAAGCAGGGGAUCACUUGUGACCUUGCGCUAAUAGAUGAGCCUAAGUCGGAUUAGCUGGUAGGUGGGGUAAAGGCCUACCAAGGCGACGAUCUGUAGCGGGUCUGAGAGGAUGAUCCGCCACACUGGGACUGGGACACGGCCCAGACUCCUACGGGAGGCAGCAGUGGGGAAUAUUGGACAAUGGGGGGAACCCUGAUCCAGCCAUGCCGCGUGUGUGAAGAAGGCCUUAUGGUUGUAAAGCACUUUAAGCGAGGAGGAGGCUCUUUUGGUUAAUACCCAAGAUGAGUGGACGUUACUCGCAGAAUAAGCACCGGCUAACUCUGUGCCAGCCGCCGCCGUAA